UUUGCUUACGGGGGGCAGCAGUGGGGAAUAUUGCACAAUGGGGGAAACCCUGAUGCAGCAACGCCGCGUGAGUGAAGAAGUAUUUCGGUAUGUAAAGCUCUAUCAGCAGGGAAGAGAAUGACGGUACCUGACUAAGAAGCCCCGGCUAACUACGUGCCAGCAGCCGCGGUAAUACGUAGGGGGCAAGCGUUAUCCGGAUUUACUGGGUGUAAAGGGAGCGUAGACGGCUGUACAAGUCUGAAGUGAAAGCCCGUGGCUCAACCGCGGAACUGCUUUGGAAACUGUAAAGCUGGAGUACUGGAGAG
RNAcentral lists this ribosomal RNA (305 nucleotides) under uncultured bacterium. Its description in RNAcentral is "bacterial SSU rRNA". It matches the Rfam family "Bacterial small subunit ribosomal RNA", at positions 334 to 656 of the family's 1533-position model. The record is from RNAcentral.